GCGGCGGGAUACGUUUUCAGGGACCAAGGUUGAGAGGUUCAGGGCUGUGCUUGGAGCAUCGACGCCACACAUUCACCAUCCAUUCCUGUCACGAACAGGCAAUUCCAUCCUCAGGCAGCUCAAGUGGACGAAGUUCUCCAUGUGCCUGGUGGGUUUGGGGGAAUCAAACAAGCCCGCUUUUUCUCGGAGAGACUGCCGUCCUGCCCGAGCUUGAUACUCCUCCCGAUUUUAGCACCCAAAAAUCACCCCGAUUCUUGAGACGCAUCAA
Molecule: long non-coding RNA, 268 nt
Organism: Selaginella moellendorffii
Lineage: Eukaryota; Viridiplantae; Streptophyta; Lycopodiopsida; Selaginellales; Selaginellaceae
Exons: 2
Source: RefSeq, a predicted model, not a curated record